This 70-nucleotide transfer RNA is filed under the name Fukomys damarensis (Damara mole-rat). It matches the Rfam family "tRNA". From Rfam's summary of the family: Transfer RNA (tRNA) molecules are approximately 80 nucleotides in length. Their secondary structure includes four short double-helical elements and three loops (D, anti-codon, and T loops). Further hydrogen bonds mediate the characteristic L-shaped molecular structure. tRNAs have two regions of fundamental functional importance: the anti-codon, which is responsible for specific mRNA codon recognition, and the 3' end, to which the tRNAs corresponding amino acid is attached (by aminoacyl-tRNA synthetases). tRNAs cope with the degeneracy of the genetic code in two manners: having more than one tRNA (with a specific anti-codon) for a particular amino acid; and 'wobble' base-pairing, i.e. permitting non-standard base-pairing at the 3rd anti-codon position. The record is from Rfam by way of RNAcentral. Lineage: Eukaryota; Metazoa; Chordata; Mammalia; Rodentia; Bathyergidae.
GGGGAUGUGGCUCAGUGGUAGAGUACUUGUCUAACAUGUAUGAGGACCUUGGUUCAACCUUGUGUCAUUA